RNAcentral lists this ribosomal RNA (506 nucleotides) under uncultured bacterium. RNAcentral describes it as "partial 16S ribosomal RNA". It matches the Rfam family "Bacterial small subunit ribosomal RNA", at positions 29 to 523 of the family's 1533-position model. The record is from RNAcentral.
AUUGAACGCUGGCGGCAUGCCUAACACAUGCAAGUCGAACGGCAGCACAGUCUAGCUUGCUAGACGGGUGGCGGGUGGCGAACGGGUGAGUAACGCGUAGGAAUAUGGCUUAAAGAGUGGGACAACUUGGAGAAACUCAAGCUAAUACCGCAUAAGCUCUUAGGAGGAAAGCUGGGGACCUUCGGGCCUGGCGCUUUAAGAUUAGCCUGCGUCCGAUUAGCUAGUUGGUAGGGUAAGGGCCUACCAAGGCGACGAUCGGUAGCUGGUCUGAGAGGAUGACCAGCCACACUGGGACUGAGACACGGCCCAGACUCCUACGGGAGGCAGCAGUGGGGAAUAUUGGACAAUGGGGGCAACCCUGAUCCAGCAAUGCCGCGUGUGUGAAGAAGGCCUGAGGGUUGUAAAGCACUUUCAGUGGGGAGGAGAGAUGUCAGGUUAAGAGCUGGACAUUGAGACGUUACCCACAGAAGAAGCACCGGCUAACUCCGUGCCAGCCGCCGCAGUAA